GUGGACGCCAGUCUGCGUGGAGCCGACCUUGAAAUACCACCCUUUAAUGUUUGAUGUUCUAACGUGGACCCGUAAUCCGGGUUGCGGACAGUGUCUGGUGGGUAGUUUGACUGGGGCGGUCUCCUCCUAAAGAGUAACGGAGGAGCACGAAGGUUGGCUAAUCCUGGUCGGACAUCAGGAGGUUAGUGCAAUGGCAUAAGCCAGCUUGACUGCGAGCGUGACGGCGCGAGCAGGUGCGAAAGCAGGUCAUAGUGAUCCGGUGGUUCUGAAUGGAAGGGCCAUCGCUCAACGGAUAAAAGGUACUCCGGGGAUAACAGGCUGAUACCGCCCAAGAGUUCAUAUCGACGGCGGUGUUUGGCACCUCGAUGUCGGCUCAUCACAUCCUGGGGCUGAAGUAGGUCCCAAGGGUAUGGCUGUUCGCCAUUUAAAGUGGUACGCGAGCUGGGUUUAGAACGUCGUGAGACAGUUCGGUCCCUAUCUGCCGUGGGCGCUGGAGAACUGAGGGGGGCUGCUCCUAGUACGAGAGGACCGGAGUGGACGCAUCACUGGUGUUCGGGUUGUCAUGCCAAUGGCACUGCCCGGUAGCUAAAUGCGGAAGAGAUAAGUGCUGAAAGCAUCUAAGCACGAAACUUGCCCCGAG
This 640-nucleotide ribosomal RNA is filed under the name Salmonella enterica subsp. enterica serovar Infantis. RNAcentral's name for it is "partial 23S ribosomal RNA". It matches the Rfam family "Bacterial large subunit ribosomal RNA", at positions 2164 to 2803 of the family's 2925-position model. RNAcentral also lists the same sequence under 8 other names. The record is from RNAcentral. Lineage: Bacteria; Pseudomonadati; Pseudomonadota; Gammaproteobacteria; Enterobacterales; Enterobacteriaceae.